UAGUGAGUUUAAUUAUUGUUAUACAUUUAUAGCUGCUGUAAAUGUGUCGUCAGAAGUAAACGUGUAAUAUUAUUACACUUUACACAAAGUAUUCAGGUGGAAAUGGGAGGACAACAUCCUUACAGAUUGCAUAUACGUGGAAAUCAGUACCAGAAGUAGAAUUUGGUUAUUAUUUUGACUUCAGAAAAAUACAUACUUGUACGACAUACGAGAUCUGAGAGCAACGGACAUUUAAAUAUUGAUUCUUACAUAGCAAGAGAUAACAACAAGAGCAUGGGGAUCUGUGGUGGGGCACACUAAAGUUUGCAGAUUGGGUGCUCACAAUAAUUUGAAGACAUUCAUCCGUAGCAUCUUGGCAGUCCCCAAUUGAAAUUAUAGACCAAUUUAGAACAACAUUUUAAACAGAGCUUUACAUUCACUCCACAUUUGUUUCACAUCAACAUCAGAAUGGCACCGAACAAAUUCAACCACAAAAUCACUGCCUACUCACCGUGGCGGUUGUGACAAUUCCAUAACUUCAAGCAAGCAAGCAGUGAUCGUAUUUGCUUGUUAACAGAGCAAUAAUUGUUCAUCUUUUCGUUUCCUGCCAGUCAGCCCAUACAUCUAGUUUAUUCAACAUAGUUUAAAUUUUUGGGAAAUAAUGAAUCCAAUGCAUUUAUUUAUUAUAUUAUGUGCCAGGACUUUUAUUUAUAUGUUUAUACUUAUCAUAUAUAGAUAGAUUCCGGUAUCUAAUAAACUAAUUACAUCUUAAAGCUAAAUUAAUUUUAAAAGGUAAGAUGAUUGCUACAAUAUACAAUUAUCUAUCCCUAUAACCGUAAAUACAUUUAUGGAUAUUUGCUUAACUAUUGUAUCUAUUGAAUUUCUGUAUGUAUUACCUAUAAUUGAUUCUGUACCGUUUGCCUUUGAGGUGUUAUCCUCAAAUAAAUAAAAACAUUUGUAUAACAUAAAUUAAAAUCACCCCACAUACUUCAUUACCUAUUUUGUCACAGUAUUCUUGUUUGAGUAAUACACCUCAUUGUUUAUACAACAGUAUGUAGAUGUCUAUAGGCUUUUCAUUUUAAAAUACAUAAAUAUAUAAUACAUAGAACACACACGAACUAAAUUAAUGAAUAAAACCACAAAACUAAUCGUUAAGUACUAUUUUACUUUAUCUUGACAAUUCUGAUAUAAACCGUUAAUUCAAUUUCAGCAAAAAAUAAAAAUAUAUUGCUCUGCUGUACAGUAGGUUACAUGUGGGUCACUUUAUAAUGGAUUGUAUUAAAUUUAAAUUGAAUGAUAUUAUAUCAUUGUAUACAAAAAACGUAUAGGUUUUUAUUUCUUUUUUUAUGGUCAGUCAGGAUUUUAUAUUGUUAUUAUUUAUUAUAGCCUAUAAGUUGAAUUAAUAUUAUAAUAUUAUUACUUUUUAUUCGUUUCUAUAGUGACAAACUAAGCGUUAGAAAUUAAAAUCUAAUUUUUAGCGGUUUUUUGUAAUUUGUCGGUGGUUUUUCCCGUGGCAUUAAAUAACUAUUGAGAAAAUCGAAAAAUGACUUCUUUAAAGUACCAUCUUGAUCCAAUUUGCUAAAAGAUAAGGUACUAUAAGUUGAAAUCAAAGCACUCCUUCUGGUAGAAAUUUUGUAUACAGGAUAUAAAAAAAAAAAAUAAAUAAACAUCAUUGUAAAACCACUAGCUUCCUCGCUCCGCUCAGAAUCUAAAAUAUACUCGUCUAAUUAUUAUAACUUGUCUAUUUCUAAAUACUAUUGUUGUAAUAAUUCCAUGUAUUUAAACAACAUAAUAUGACAUAUUAUGAUUAUUUUAUUAUCAGUGAGUCAAUACAAUUAUUUAUAUAAAUAGGUACCACUACAACAACAACAAAUAUUUAAUAAAUAAUAUUAAGAUUAAAUAUGUCCUUGAUUCUUAUUACAAUUGUUUAGAUAAUUUGUUAUUCACUUUUAAUUUUUUGUAACUGUACAAUUUAUAAUAAUUGAUAAUUUUGAACUGUAUCUAAUUUUAUAGUUUAAUAUAAGUUUUUUAAAUAUGGGAUGAAUUUUUUUUGUAUUUAAUUCUAUCUUUAAAUAUAUUAUACAGAAAGACCUGACAAAAAAAACAAAUUAUAUUACUUAAACGUAGGUAUGACAAAAAUUGUGAAAAUGAUAUGGUUAAUACAUUAUUUAAGAAAUAUCCUCAUGUAAGGGGUAUAAAAAUUCCCAUCGUAACAAUGUAACCUAUAUUAAUUGAAUGCAUUUUUAUGAAGCUAAACAAAAUGUAUUACCUAUUUGUUGUUAAAUCACCUUUAUGGAUUAAUUGUAUAAUAUGUAAUUAACAUAAUAAACACAAUAAACAUAAUAAACAUAAUUACUGAUUAACCUAACCUAACCUGAAUGAUUUAUAGCUGAUAAAAAAUCAUAUUUGUUAUUAUAUUAUAUUAUUGUAUAUUAUAAUUUACUAUAGUUUGUCCUGCAAGAAAACGCGUGGUUCGGCGAGUGUAGACACUAUAUAGACGUGUGACAGCAGAACACUCAGUGAGCCCCCGCCCUCACAAAGUAACCCACAUGCGCACCCGAUUAUGGGCUUCGCCGAUGUGGUGGUCUGGGUGGGAAUGAUGUUUCUUGCUGGGUGGUGUUCGGGCUGUAGAGAUUUUCAGAACAAACCGAUUUUUGUCGGGCCGCAACAUGUCUCUCUAAAGAAAUUAAAAUUCCCAUUUUAAUAUAUAUUGGAUGGAUUACAUGAUUUAUUCCUAAUUUGUUAGUUAAUAAUAUAUAAUAAAAAAUAUGUUAGAUUAAUAACACAAGUAUUCAAUUUGAAUGUUA
Metopolophium dirhodum (rose-grain aphid) is the source of this 2786-nucleotide long non-coding RNA. RefSeq lists it as uncharacterized. The record is from RefSeq and is a predicted model, not a curated record. Lineage: Eukaryota; Metazoa; Arthropoda; Insecta; Hemiptera; Aphididae. The transcript is spliced from 4 exons.